GACGAACGCUGGCGGCGUGCUUAACACAUGCAAGUCGAACGGAAAGGCCUCUUUCGGGGGGUACUCGAGUGGCGAACGGGUGAGUAACACGUGAGUAACCUGCCCUUGACUUUGGGAUAACUUCAGGAAACUGGGGCUAAUACCGGAUAGGAGCUCCUGCUGCAUGGUGGGGGUUGGAAAGUUUCGGCGGUUGGGGAUGGACUCGCGGCUUAUCAGCUUGUUGGUGGGGUAGUGGCUUACCAAGGCUUUGACGGGUAGCCGGCCUGGGAGGGUGACCGGCCACAUUGGGACUGAGAUACGGCCCAGACUCCUACGGGGGGCAGCAGUGGGGAAUAUUGCACAAUGGGUGGAAGCCUGAUGCAGCAACGCCGUGUGCGGGAUGACGGCCUUCGGGUUGUAAACCGCUUUCGCUCAUGACGAAGCUUUGUGUGACGGUAGUGGGUAAAGAAGCACCGGCUAACUACGUG
Molecule: ribosomal RNA, 467 nt
Filed under: uncultured bacterium
Lineage: Bacteria
Description: partial 16S ribosomal RNA
Rfam family: Bacterial small subunit ribosomal RNA
Source: RNAcentral